GAAAGCUAAGGAGUGAAGAAAGCAUUAGUCUGGAUAUACUUGAAAAGCAAUGGGACAAAAUACUACAAGAAAAGAACAAUAGUAACAAAACAUAAGAAAGAAAAGAUGAUUUAAAUCUCAUGUACUGGUAUAGAACUUCUCUAUUUAGAGAGGAAUUGACUACCUAGGCAAAUUUACAACAAAUUUAAGUUCAGCUGAGCACUGCUGAACUUAAUGAAUUUCCUCCCAAGUUUCCUUCCUUCCUUCCUUCCUUCCUUCCUUCCUUCCUUCCUUCCUUCCUUCCUUCCUUCCUUGUGCCUAUUGGGGAAUAGAAUUUGAAAGCUGCAAAAGAGUACUCACAAUUAGUGAGUACUCGAACUUGAACUAUAGAUUGGAUUCAUGCAUCACUCUAAACUGAGAUCCACUCUAAGAUAAGUUUCCUUAAUCAUUUAUUAAAUGUUGAGUUCACUAGUUAUACUAAACUAAAAACAAAAUGCAUUGUGGCUUAGUAUGAUGUAUACUAAGAGUUGCAAAAAUCUGAACAAACAUUGGAUAGCAGCAACGAAGUAUAGAAAAAAAACUAGAUAUUUACAGAUUUUUUACUUAUUUAUUUUUAUUAGUCAUAUUUCUAUGCCGCCCACUCUCCAAGGACUCUGGGCUGCUUGCACCAAAGACAGUACACUAAAUAGCAUAUUGCCCCCAACAAUCUGGGUCCUCAUUUUACCCACCUCGGAAGGAUGGAAGGCUGAGUCAACCUUGAGCUGGUGAGAUUUGAUCCGCUGAUCUGCUGAACUAGCAGUCAGCUGAAGUAGCUGCAGUACUGGACUCUAACCACUGCGCCACCUCAGCUCUUUAUCUGUCAGAUAAAUGUACAAUGUCUAUAAAUGUAGAUUUAUCUCCCAGAUAAAUGUACUUUGAUAUUACCGCUUGAAAUCUAUGUAGUAAAUCUUAUAUACACUUUAAACAAGAAUGUAAAAGUCAGGGUUUUUGUAUUCAAUGUAUUUCUACUGUAGAAUCCACAAUAAUAUUCAUUAUAAGCUUUACAGGAAGAAGUCAUGUACAGUGAAUGAAAAUCCUUUUUAAAGAUAUAAAACUUCCAUUUUGUACAACACAGAAGCCAUUCCCUUUCAAGUGCAGCCUUAAAAGAAAUUAAAUGGAUUUGUCCUUGCCAAACAGGAAAUCAAAGCACGGUAAAGGAAAGACUGUUGGCAGACUAGAAAGAGAAAGCAAAUAACUGAAAAUAAUGUAUCUUGGCUGUAAAAAUAUGUUGUGUACUUGCAAAGCUCUGUUUAAAAUGGAUUUUUUUUCCUGUCAAAAAGAAUGUCAGGAUUAUUUAAAUAUCAUAGCUCUACUUGUUACCAUUGUUUAUUAUUAAGUAACUUGACUCACAAACAUAAAAGAUUUUUAAUAGGACCUUUGCUACGCAAGCAGCAAUAACCUUACCUUUCCUGCCCUCUUGCUUCUUAGAGCAACAGCUGAAGAGAUUUCAAUUUCAGUGUGAACAAGAAAGGUGUGGAAUGCCUAUUUAUAUACCUGGGUGCACCUGAUCCCACCCACAAGGCCAGGGGAGGAGUGACUGGGAGAGGAAGGCGAGGGCAGGCCCAGCCAGUGGUGGGAUCACCCAACAGCAAAGGGCCCGAAGAGCCGCCUGCAGCUCUGGAGCCACAGGUUCAAGGGUGAAAUCCAGCAGGUUCUGACAAGUUCUGGAGAACCGGUAGUGGAAAGUUUGAGCAGUUCGGAGAACCAGUAGCGGAAAUUUUGAGUAAUUUAGAGAACCAGCAAAUACCACCUCUGGCUGGCCUCAAAGUGGGGAGGGAAUGGGGAUUUUGCAGUAUCCUUCCCCUGCCAUGCCCACCAAGCCACACCUCGCCCAUGAAGCCAUGCCCACAGAACCGGUAGUAAAAAAAAAUUGGACUGCACCACUGCACAAGUUGCUGACACCUGCUCUAGGACAAUCUCAACAACUCAAAGAUGUAUGAACUUCAAUUCUUACAAUUGUUCAGCCAGCUAUUGUUCUACUGCUGCUGGGAGGUUUGUUGAGAAAAUGAUCAGCUUAUAGCUCCAAAAGAAAUUGAUUAUUUUAGCCCUUUUCAAUUUGGACUAGGCCAUGUCAUAGCCCUGAGACAGUAUUUAAUUCAUUUGAUAUCUGCUAGGCUCUGUAUGACUGUAGUACAUCCAUUCCUACACUCCUUAAUUUUUUAGCAAUACCUUCAUGACCUCCUGAACUGGCUCAGGGGUUUGGAAAUGGAAGACUUUUGUGAUUCUUUUCUUUUUUCCUGUCCAGUUCCAAGUGUUCUUUGUAAGUGUGAGAGAUUGACCCCCCACUUUGUGGGGUGCUUCUUUACUCUUUCCUUACUUCUGUUGUAUAUGAUGAAGCUACUAUCAUCUGUCAAUAUCACCCAUUCCUGUAUUUUUGUCCUGGACUGAUCAAAUUAUGCUAUUAAGUUUCCCACUCCCUACAUUUCCUGGAGCUUGUGUGAGUUUGGAUGGGAGACAAGAGGCAAUACCAUAACUUGAUCUAUCUCUUUUGCUAUAAGGUGGUUUGAUGAAUGGCUCUUGUUGAUAAAAUAUAAAAAAAGGAAAGGAAAGGUAAAUUGUCAUCCAGUUUGAUAUAAAAAGCAGCCCCUCAGUUAAACUGUGUUAAAUUGUUUCACAACAUGCUAAAUUCUGCUGAAUUUAUACAUGGUGUACUGAACACAAUAUUCUUAAUUGACACAGCACAACCAAUCAGCUUUCUACCCAACCAACCAAGUUUGUGAUUUUAUUUAUUUGUAUCUCACCUUUAUUAUUUUUUAUAAGUAACUCAAGGCAGCAACCAUAUCCAACAAAUCUUCCUCUUUUUAUUUUCUCCACAACAAUACUGUGAAGUGGGUUGGGCUGAGAGAAAUCCAGCUGUCUGUACAGGAUUUAAAAGUAUGGUAUCUUGAUUUAUAGCCUGGUGCCUUAACUACUAGACAAUUGGCUCUCAUAUUCAAAUAUAUACAGUGGAAUAGAAGAAAUAAAGUGUUCUAUAUAUGUACAUCACUAGACCAUUUUGGAAUUUAUUUUGCAUAUUUAUAUAGAUUUUAAACUAUAUAGACCUAUAUAGAUUUUAAACUGUUAAAAUAAGUUCCUGUUUAUUGGAUAGCUAUGUCACUUUUCAGGAAAAAAAUUGGUGAGUUAUUAGAGAUGUGGCAUUCAAAAUGCAGCAUUAAUUCAUAUGGUAUAACUAUAUUUAGUUGUUCCCUUUUCAACAGAAUCCAGUUCAUCUAAUAUGUUUUAUUCUGGAAGAAUAAAUAGUUUUGUAGAUGCUCAUGCUGUUUUGAAUGCCAAUUGUUUGGAAUUAACAGCAGAACAAUAGAAUAGAUAUUCAUAAUAAAUGAAUGAUGGUUAAAUAUUAAUAAAAUCAAGAUUGCUUA
Long non-coding RNA from Pantherophis guttatus, 3377 nucleotides. RefSeq lists it as uncharacterized. The record is from RefSeq and is a predicted model, not a curated record. NCBI's taxonomy places the organism in Eukaryota, Metazoa, Chordata, Lepidosauria, Squamata, Colubridae.